This 476-nucleotide ribosomal RNA is filed under the name uncultured bacterium. RNAcentral's name for it is "partial 16S ribosomal RNA". It matches the Rfam family "Bacterial small subunit ribosomal RNA", at positions 28 to 523 of the family's 1533-position model. The record is from RNAcentral.
GACGAACGCUGGCGGCGUGCUUAACACAUGCAAGUCGAACGAUGAAGCCUUCGGGUGGAUUAGUGGCGAACGGGUGAGUAACACGUGGGUGAUCUGCCCUGCACUUUGGGAUAAGCCUGGGAAACUGGGUCUAAUACCGAAUAUGAUCAUGCUCUUCAUGGGGUGUGGUGGAAAGCUUUUGCGGUGUGGGAUGGGCCCGCGGCCUAUCAGCUUGUUGGUGGGGUAAUGGCCUACCAAGGCGACGACGGGUAGCCGGCCUGAGAGGGUGACCGGCCACACUGGGACUGAGAUACGGCCCAGACUCCUACGGGAGGCAGCAGUGGGGAAUAUUGCACAAUGGGCGCAAGCCUGAUGCAGCGACGCCGCGUGAGGGAUGACGGCCUUCGGGUUGUAAACCUCUUUCAGCAGGGACGAAGCGCAAGUGACGGUACCUGCAGAAGAAGGACCGGCCAACUACGUGCCAGCCGCCGCGGUAA